GGUUCGAUUAUGGCUCAGAUUGAACGCUGGCGGGAUGCUUUACAUGCAAGUCGGGCAGCAGCUGAACUCAGAUGCUGGUGGCAGAGUGGCGAACAGGUGAUAAUGUAUCGGAACACGAUGCCUAGUAGCGGGGGAUAACUACGCGAAAGCGUAACUAAUACCUGCGCCCUUCGAGGGGAAAGCGGGGGGACCUUCGGGCUCCGCACUAUUAAACGGCCGAUAUCCGGAUUAGCCUAGUUGGUGGGGUAACGGCUCACCAAGGCGACGAUCCGUAGCUGGUUUGAAGGACGACCAGCCACACUGGGACUGAGACUGUACGGCCCAGACUCCUGCAGGAGGCAGCAGUGGGGAAUUUGGACAAAGUAGGGGAAACCCUGAUCCAGCCAUCCGCGUGUGCGAUGAGGCCUUCGGGUUGUAAGCACUUUUGGCAGGAAAGAAACAGCACGGAGAUAAUACCCAGUGCUGCUGCUGUGCCAAUACCUACAGAAUAAACGCCCUGCUAGCUAACUACGUGCCAGCAGCCGCGGUAAUGGUAAGUGCAAGCGUUAAUCGGAAUUACUGGGCGUAAAGAAGGCGCAGGCGGUUCGGAAAGAAAGAUGUGAGAAAUCCCAGAGCUUAACUUUGGAACUGCAUUUUUAACUACCGAGCUAGAGUGUGUAGAGGAAGUGGGAAUUCCGCACACGAUAACUUGAUAGAAAUGCGUAGAUAUGCGGAGGAACACCGAUGGCGAAGGCAGCCUCCUGGGAUAACGCGGCGCUCAUGCACGAAAGCGUGGGAGGCAAACAGGAUUAGAUGCCCUGGUGGUCCGCCUAAACGAUGUCAACUUCUGCUUCUGGCCAGAGACCACUUCGGGCGCGGUAGCGCAAUAACGCGUGAAGUUGACCGCCUGGGGGAGUACGGUCGCAGGUCAAACUCAAGGAAUUGACGGGGACCCGCACAAGCGGUGGAUGAUGCGGAUUAAUUCGAUGCAACGCGAAAAAGCCUUACCUACCUUGACAUGUCUGGAAUCCAAAGAGAUUUGGGGUGCUCGCAAAGAACCGGAACACAGGUGCUGCAUGGCUGUCGUCAGCUCGUGUCGUGAGAUGUUGAGUUAAGUCGCAACGAGCGCAACCCUUUGUCAUUAGUUGCUACCCGAAGGGCACUCUAAUGAGACUGCCGGUGACAAAACCGGAGGAAGGUGGGGAUGACGUCCAGGUCCUCAUGGCCCUUGGGUAGGGCUUCACGUCAUGCAAUGGUGCGGGACGGAGAGAUUCCCGCCAACCCGCGAGGGAGCCAAUCCAGAAACCCGAUCGUGGUCAGAUCCGCAGUCUGCAACUCUCAGCCUGCGCGUGAAGUCGGAAUCGCUAGUAAUCGCGGAUCAGCAUGUCGCAGUGAAUACGUUCCCAGGUCUUGUACACACCGCCCGUCACACCAUGGGAAUUUAGGUUUUACAAGUAGUUAGCCUAACCGUAAGGAGGGCGAUUACCACGGUAGGAUUCAUGACUGGGGUGAAGUCGUAACAAGGUAGCUCUCGGCUACCUG
Molecule: ribosomal RNA, 1521 nt
Filed under: uncultured Bordetella sp.
Lineage: Bacteria; Pseudomonadati; Pseudomonadota; Betaproteobacteria; Burkholderiales; Alcaligenaceae
Description: partial 16S-23S ribosomal RNA intergenic spacer
Rfam family: Bacterial small subunit ribosomal RNA
Source: RNAcentral